ACGGGUGAGUAACACGUGGGAACGUACCCUUCGGUUCGGAAUAACGCUGGGAAACUAGCGCUAAUACCGGAUACGCCCUUAUGGGGAAAGGUUUACUGCCGAAGGAUCGGCCCGCGUCUGAUUAGCUAGUUGGUGGGGUAAUGGCCUACCAAGGCGACGAUCAGUAGCUGGUCUGAGAGGAUGAUCAGCCACACUGGGACUGAGACACGGCCCAGACUCCUACGGGAGGCAGCAGUGGAGAAUAUUGGACAAUGGGCGCAAGCCUGAUCCAGCCAUGCCGCGUGAGUGAUGAAGGCCUUAGGGUUGUAAAGCUCUUUUGUCCGGGACGAUAAUGACGGUACCGGAAGAAUAAGCCCCGGCUAACUUCGUGCCAGCAGCCGCGGUAAUACGAAGGGGGCUAGCGUUGCUCGGAAUCACUGGGCGUAAAGGGCGCGUAGGCGGCCAUUCAAGUCGGGGGUGAAAGCCUGUGGCUCAACCACAGAAUUGCCUUCGAUACUGUUUGGCUUGAGUAUGGCAGAGGUUAGUGGAACUGCGAGUGUAGAGGUGAAAUUCGUAGA
This 557-nucleotide ribosomal RNA is filed under the name uncultured Methylobacterium sp. Its description in RNAcentral is "bacterial SSU rRNA". It matches the Rfam family "Bacterial small subunit ribosomal RNA", at positions 102 to 694 of the family's 1533-position model. The record is from RNAcentral. Lineage: Bacteria; Pseudomonadati; Pseudomonadota; Alphaproteobacteria; Hyphomicrobiales; Methylobacteriaceae.